AAUCAUUCUAACCUUUUAGUUUUUAGCUACUCAUUCUUACCAAGUUUAGUUUUGUAAAAUAUGGCGACUGGAUACGAGAUUGUUCAGACCCUGAAUAAGAAGAGGUUCCCAAACAAGUUCGAGAAUUUAGGGUACAACAGGACGUUUCUGAAUGGCGUAAUUGUGCCAAGUGUAUGCAAAUGCCUACAGAGCCUGAGAAUGGAUGCUGCAGGGAGAUGCCACAGGUAACAAGAAGACUACUGCAGCUUCCAAACCAACCAACGUGCAUCAUCCGGGACUUUUAGCUGUGUGAUGUGAAUGUGUUCUCACUACAGAAUGCAUUCAACAUCUAUAGAGCAGACUAUGGGCCUUAUGUCUAAGGGGAAUAUAGCAACGUUACAGGUAUUUGGUGUACAGAAGCUUUGUUAGCAGGUCUUGGGGCUUUCUGGGACGGAGAAUCUGGGUGGUCCUGCUCUUCUGCUCCAGAUGGUGCUUUGGAGGAUCUGUCUGACAGGCCACAUGAUGUAGCCUAGGACACUGUUCAGAUGUUCUUCCUUAAC
Clupea harengus (Atlantic herring) is the source of this 539-nucleotide long non-coding RNA. The record is from Ensembl. NCBI's taxonomy places the organism in Eukaryota, Metazoa, Chordata, Actinopteri, Clupeiformes, Clupeidae.